UCAGUGCACUUGCUUCCAAACAGGUUUCCAGUUCAAGAUCACCCGUGCCUGUUCUCCAUGCAGUGUGGAGUUGUGUUAGGAAGGGCAUCUAGUGUAA
Thalassophryne amazonica is the source of this 97-nucleotide long non-coding RNA. RefSeq lists it as uncharacterized. The transcript has 3 exons. The record is from RefSeq and is a predicted model, not a curated record. NCBI's taxonomy places the organism in Eukaryota, Metazoa, Chordata, Actinopteri, Batrachoidiformes, Batrachoididae.